AUUGAACGCUGGCGGCGUGCUUAACACAUGCAAGUCGUGCGGUAACAGGCGUAGCAAUACGUGCUGACGAGCGGCGAACGGGUGCGUAAUACAUGGGAAUCUGCCCUUUAGUGGGGAAUAACCCGGCGAAAGCCGGGCUAAUGCCGCAUAAGAUCUUCGGAUGAAAGGCGGGGGAUCGUAAGACCUCGCGCUGAUGGAUGACGCCCAUGCCGGAUCAGCUAGUUGGUGAGGUAACGGCUCACCAAGGCGACGAUCCGUAGCUGGUCUGAGAGGACGGCCAGCCACACUGGGACUGAGACACGGCCCAGACUCCUACGGGAGGCAGCAGUGGGGAAUAUUGGACAAUGGGGGAAACCCUGAUCCAGCGACGCCGCGUGUGUGAAGAAGGCCUGCGGGUUGUAAAG
This 404-nucleotide ribosomal RNA is filed under the name uncultured bacterium. RNAcentral describes it as "bacterial SSU rRNA". It matches the Rfam family "Bacterial small subunit ribosomal RNA", at positions 29 to 430 of the family's 1533-position model. The record is from RNAcentral.